This 262-nucleotide ribosomal RNA is filed under the name uncultured archaeon. Its description in RNAcentral is "partial 16S ribosomal RNA". It matches the Rfam family "Archaeal small subunit ribosomal RNA", at positions 748 to 1008 of the family's 1478-position model. The record is from RNAcentral.
AGGGUGUAAACGCUGCGGGCUUGGUGUUGGGGGUCCUUUGAGGGCGCCCAGUGCCGGAGAGAAGUUGUUAAGCCUGCUGCUUGGGGAGUACGUCCGCAAGGAUGAAACUUAAAGGAAUUGGCGGGGGGAGCACCGCAACGGGAGGAGCGUGCGGUUCAAUUGGAUUCAACGCCGGACAACUCACCAGGAGCGACGGUUACAUGAAGGCCAGGCUGAUGACCUUGCCUGAUUUUCCGAGAGGAGGUGCAUGGCGUGUGACUGU